CUACGGGUUGUAAACUGCUUUUGUACGAGAAGAAUUCUCUUGACGUGUCAGGGGUUGACGGUAUCGUACGAAUAAGCAUCGGCUAACUCCGUGCCAGCAGCCGCGGUAAUACGGAGGAUGCAAGCGUUAUCCGGAUUUAUUGGGUUUAAAGGGUGCGUAGGCGGGAUAUUAAGUCAGUGGUGAAAUCCUGCAGCUUAACUGUAGAACUGCCAUUGAUACUGAUAUUCUUGAGUAUAGUUGAAGUGGGCGGAAUGUGUAAUGUAGCGGUGAAAUGCUUAGAUAUUACACAGAACACCGAUUGCGUAGGCAGCUCGCUAAACUAAUACUGACGCUGAGGCACGAAAGCGUGGGGAGCGAACAGGAUUAGAUACCCUGGUAGUCCACGCUGUAAACUAUGAUCACUCGUUGUUGGCAAUACACAGUCAGCGACUGAGCGAAAGCAUUAAGUGAUCCACCUGGGGAGUACGGCCGCAAGGUUGAAACUCAAAGGAAUUGACGGGGGCCCGCACAAGCGGAGGAACAUGUGGUUUAAUUCGAUGAUACGCGAGGAACCUUACCUGGGCUUAAAUGCAGAACGACGUCCGCCGAAAGGCAGAUUCCCUUCGGGGCGGACUGCAAGGUGCUGCAUGGUUGUCGUCAGCUCGUGCCGUGAGGUGUCGGGUUAAGUCCCAUAACGAGCGCAACCCUUAUUGUUAGUUGCCAGCGGGUAAUGCCGGGGACUCUAACGAAACUGCCGGUGUAAACCGAGAGGAAGGUGGGGAUGACGUCAAAUCAGCACGGCCCUUACGUCCAGGGCUACACACGUGUUACAAUGGCCGGUACAAAGGGCAGCUACCUGGUAACAGGAUGCUAAUCUCGAAAGCCGGUCUCAGUUCGGAUUGAAGUCUGCAACUCGACCUCAUGAAGUUGGAUUCGCUAGUAAUCGCGCAUCAGCCACGGCGCGGUGAUACGUUCCCGGGCCUUGUACACACCGCCCGUCAAGCCA
RNAcentral lists this ribosomal RNA (985 nucleotides) under uncultured organism. RNAcentral's name for it is "bacterial SSU rRNA". It matches the Rfam family "Bacterial small subunit ribosomal RNA", at positions 416 to 1404 of the family's 1533-position model. The record is from RNAcentral.